GGGUCUUUAGCUCAAUUCGGUUAGAGCAAACGACUCAUAAUCGUUAGGUUCUUGGUUCAAGUCCAAGAAGACCCACCA
RNAcentral lists this transfer RNA (78 nucleotides) under uncultured Gammaproteobacteria bacterium. It matches the Rfam family "tRNA". From Rfam's summary of the family: Transfer RNA (tRNA) molecules are approximately 80 nucleotides in length. Their secondary structure includes four short double-helical elements and three loops (D, anti-codon, and T loops). Lineage: Bacteria; Pseudomonadati; Pseudomonadota; Gammaproteobacteria. The record is from RNAcentral.